RNAcentral lists this ribosomal RNA (433 nucleotides) under uncultured bacterium. RNAcentral describes it as "partial 16S ribosomal RNA". It matches the Rfam family "Bacterial small subunit ribosomal RNA", at positions 29 to 507 of the family's 1533-position model. The record is from RNAcentral.
AACGAACGCUGGCGGCAGGCCUAACACAUGCAAGUCGAGCGAGAUCUUCGGGUCUAGCGGCGGACGGGUGAGUAACGCGUGGGAAUAUGCCCUUCUCUGCGGAAUAGCCUCGGGAAACUGAGCGUAAUACCGCAUACGCCCUUUGGGGGAAAGAUUUAUCGGAGAAGGAUUAGCCCGCGUUGGAUUAGGUAGUUGGUGGGGUAACGGCCUACCAAGCCGACGAUCCAUAGCUGGUUUGAGAGGAUGAUCAGCCACACUGGGACUGAGACACGGCCCAGACUCCUACGGGAGGCAGCAGUGGGGAAUCUUAGACAAUGGGGGCAACCCUGAUCUAGCCAUGCCGCGUGAGUGAUGAAGGCCUUAGGGCUGUAAAGCUCUUUCAGCUGGGAAGAUAAUGACGGUACCAGCAGAAGAAGCCCCGGCUAACUCCGUG